GGACGAGCUCCUAGAUCUAUGGU
RNAcentral lists this non-coding RNA (23 nucleotides) under Arabidopsis thaliana (thale cress). The record is from RNAcentral. Lineage: Eukaryota; Viridiplantae; Streptophyta; Magnoliopsida; Brassicales; Brassicaceae.